GACGUUGUGACCCGAAUUGGUUAGGGACCAGACUGCAGAUCUGGGUUAUGGGGGUUCGAGUCCCUCCAACGUCU
RNAcentral lists this transfer RNA (74 nucleotides) under Methanobrevibacter millerae. RNAcentral describes it as "tRNA_Pseudo_GCA". It matches the Rfam family "tRNA". Rfam says of the family: Transfer RNA (tRNA) molecules are approximately 80 nucleotides in length. Their secondary structure includes four short double-helical elements and three loops (D, anti-codon, and T loops). The record is from RNAcentral. Lineage: Archaea; Methanobacteriati; Methanobacteriota; Methanobacteria; Methanobacteriales; Methanobacteriaceae.